Molecule: long non-coding RNA, 1489 nt
Filed under: Lathyrus oleraceus (garden pea)
Lineage: Eukaryota; Viridiplantae; Streptophyta; Magnoliopsida; Fabales; Fabaceae
Description: Pisum sativum (pea) long non-coding RNA (PSAT_LNC010960)
Source: RNAcentral
UUCUUCACCCUUCACACGUGUCCCUCCGCUCACAAUCUCUCAAGACUCUUCUCUCCACUAUUUCUCCCACUCCCUCAUUUUCGUCCCUCACAGACACUCACACUCCACUCCCCAACGUCUCUCUCCACUGCUAACAACCUCACGCUCUCUCUCUCUAAAAGACCCUCACCUUCCACUCAUUUUUACGGACAACCCACAAACCCUUCUUUCACUCUCUCUCACGCAAAAGAGAAAACAGAAAGAGAAGGCGGAAGAGAAGAAGAAAAACCCUUCUUGUUCUCCAACCCCGCCGCAAACCUCCGAACCCUUUCUCCUCUCACUGACCAAAAACCCAUCACAACCUCCGUCUCCACUACCUUCAAAACACAAGCUCAGCCGCCGUCAACCUCCACUGCCGCCGCGGAUUCACCACCGCGAAACCAUCGACCACCCAAAACCCACCGUAAACCUUCAAAAUCCCAAUCGUCAAACCCUUCUUCAUCACAACACAUUCACCGCCGCCACUACCUUAAACCUCCAAAUCCACCAAACCCUAAACCAUCGCUCACCCCCAAUCGCCGCUCACUUUGAAUCUCCGCCGUUUACCACCAACACCACAACCAACAAAUACCCUCCUUCAACACAAACCCUCACACCAUCAUCGAAACCCUCACUCAACAACCGUUUCAACCAUGGCACCACCCAGCUCGGAACGGCAAAACGCGUCCCCAAGGUAGACGUUCCGCCGGAACAGGUGCAGUCAAAAAGCGACGGCUUGGAUCUAUACCAACAAUAUCUUGAAUAGGAUAGUGGAUCUGUCGAAGAUCUUACGGCGCUCACAAGAUACCUUUCUGUUCUAAUGGAAAUCCCGCGACAACCAUGAACUCAGAGCAGCAAACAGAACAUGACAAUUUGAUCAUUUUGGUAGUAUUUCGGUUAAAGCGUCGGAUUUAAGUUUAUGUUGUUUCUAAUGAGUUUACAUUCAGUUUUCAGAUAAGCGAUAUACUUUAAAUUUGCUGCUUUUACCUUCUGUAUGACUACAGUCUUCACGUUUGAAAAUUAAUUAUGGUGACUCAUGGAUGUUUCGAUAGGGUUUCCAGCUUGGUUUGUUUGUGUUGUUUAAAUUGAGGAUACGAAUGAGUUAGUUUAUGGACUGAGAACCUGUAGAUAAUGAACGACUGUGAUCUUGUUUUGAUUAUAGCAUUUGUUUCUUUCCUAUAAGUGUUUGUAUUAAAAUGUGAUUAGAUUACCGCUUGAAGCUUGUUUAGACAUUACAAGUGUGUUAUAUUGACUGUUAGAUGUAUUAGUUUUGUGGGAAGAUUUUUUGUGAAAUUAAAGUUUAUUUUCCCAUCAGUGUUAUCAAUAGAACAAAUGGAUAUUGGUUGAAAUGCUGAACAGUUCGUUUCUUUAUUCUGUACUAGCUGAAUUUGGUUUUGCAUUAGCUGCACCUUUUGAGGUCUCCUUGGACAUGAUUUAUUUCUAUUCUAUUCUAAUAAGAAGUCAAGUAGAU